CGGCGGCCACCGCUAUAGGAAUUCGAUUAAGACAUGCGAGUCGAGAGUCGUAAUGGACUCGGCGGACUGAUCAGUAACACGUGGAUAACGUGCCCUUAAGUGGAGGAUAAUCUCGGGAAACUGAGGAUAAUACUCCAUAGACUAUGGAAUUUGGAAUGAUCCAUAGUUGAAAGUUCCGGCGCUUUAGGAUCGGUCUGCGGCCUAUCAGGUCGUAGUGGGUGUAACGUACCUACUAGCCUAUGACGGGUAUGGGCCUUGAGAGAGGGAGCCCAGAGUUGGAUUCUGAGACACGAAUCCAGGCCCUACGGGGCGCAGCAGUCGCGAAAACUUCACCAUGGGGGCAACCCCGAUGAGGGAAUUCCUAGUGCUAGCACAAUUGUGUUAGCUUUUCUCUAGCAUAGAUAACUAGAGG
This 412-nucleotide ribosomal RNA is filed under the name uncultured archaeon. RNAcentral's name for it is "SSU rRNA". It matches the Rfam family "Archaeal small subunit ribosomal RNA", at positions 18 to 433 of the family's 1478-position model. The record is from RNAcentral.